This 521-nucleotide ribosomal RNA is filed under the name uncultured bacterium. RNAcentral describes it as "partial 16S ribosomal RNA". It matches the Rfam family "Bacterial small subunit ribosomal RNA", at positions 355 to 861 of the family's 1533-position model. The record is from RNAcentral.
UGGGGAAUAUUGCACAAUGGGCGCAAGCCUGAUGCAGCCAUGCCGCGUGUGUGAAGAAGGCCUUCGGGUUGUAAAGCACUUUCAGCGAGGAGGAAGGUGGUGAACUUAAUACGUUCAUCAAUUGACGUUACUCGCAGAAGAAGCACCGGCUAACUCCGUGCCAGCAGCCGCGGUAAUACGGAAGGUGCAAGCGUUAAUCGGAAUUACUGGGCGUAAAAGCGCACGCAGGCGGUUUGUUAAGUCAGAUGUGAAAUCCCCGGGCUCAACCUGGGAACUGCAUUUGAAACUGGCAAGCUAGAGUCUCGUAGAGGGGGGUAGAAAUUCCAGGUGUAGCGGUGAAAAUGCGUAGAGAUCUGGAGGAAUACCGGUGGCGAAGGCGGCCCCCUGGACGAAGACUGACGCUCAGGUGCGAAAAGCGUGGGGAGCAAAACAGGAUUAGAUACCCUGGUAGUCCACGCUGUAAAACGAUGCCGAUUUUGGAGGUUGUGCCCUUGAGGCGUGGCUUCCGGAGCUAACGCGUU